CAGUCGCGCGGUAAUACGGAGGGAGCUAGCGUUGUUCGGAAUUACUGGGCGUAAAGCGCGCGUAGGCGGUUACUCAAGUCAGAGGUGAAAGCCCGGGGCUCAACCCCGGAACUGCCUUUGAAACUAGGUGACUAGAAUCUUGGAGAGGUCAGUGGAAUUCCGAGUGUAGAGGUGAAAUUCGUAGAUAUUCGGAAGAACACCAGUGGCGAAGGCGACUGACUGGACAAGUAUUGACGCUGAGGUGCGAAAGCGUGGGGAGCAAACAGGAUUAGAUACCCCCGUAGUCCCUGUCUCUUAUACA
RNAcentral lists this ribosomal RNA (301 nucleotides) under uncultured bacterium. Its description in RNAcentral is "partial 16S ribosomal RNA". It matches the Rfam family "Bacterial small subunit ribosomal RNA", at positions 509 to 808 of the family's 1533-position model. The record is from RNAcentral.